Gadus macrocephalus (Pacific cod) is the source of this 1256-nucleotide long non-coding RNA. RefSeq lists it as uncharacterized. The record is from RefSeq and is a predicted model, not a curated record. Lineage: Eukaryota; Metazoa; Chordata; Actinopteri; Gadiformes; Gadidae. The transcript has 3 exons.
CCAACAAGGGAGGUUGUAGGAUCCCGAGAAGAGGUCCAGCAUGUGAACGAUGACACCAACAGACACAGGUUCAAAUAAACAACGAAUUACAGAGCGGUAUAAAGAACUGAAUCAAACAAGACUAUAAAACAUAAACCCCUCUGCUGAUGGAGAAAAAUUACAAAACGCCAGCCUCCGUUAACGAGGUCCGCCUCUGUUAACGAGAUCAGCCUCCGUUAACGAGGUCAGCCUCCCUUAACGAGGUCAGCCUCCCUUAACGAGGACAGCCUCCGUUAACGAGGUCAGCCUCUGUUAACAAGGUCAGCCUCUGUUAACAAGGUCAGCCUCUGUUAACAAGGUCAGCCUCCGUUAACGAGGUCAGCCUCCCUUAACGAGGUCAGCCUCCCUUAACGAGAACUGUUGGGCCUUUCUGCGGACACAGGAAACCAGGUCCUCCUCUUCUUCAGUCCAGGAAGUGAAGGCCGGGAGGGCGCGCUCACCUCAAACCAACCCUCCUUUAGGUCGGUGGUCUUCUCCCACACGACCUGCGUCCGGUCUGUUGUUCUUGUUGUGUUGCUCUGUUGUGUUGUUGUGUUUUGUUCUGUUGUUGUGGUGUAUUGUUGUGGUGUGUUGUUGUGGUUGUCAUGUUGUGUUGUGUGCAGCCUCACGUCUCCAGGAGUUCUGAGGUGAAAUGUCACCAUCUAAGCCACUACUCCUUGAGGUCCUAAUCUCUCUGAGUGCUGCUCUCUCUCUGAGUGCUGCUCUCUCUCUCUCUGAGUGCUGCUCUCUCUCUCUCUCUCUCUCUGAGUGCUGCUCUCUCUCUCUCUCUCUGAGUGCUGCUCUCUCUCUCUGAUUGCUGCUGUGCUCUCGUUCUACCGGAGCCUGAAUCGACUCCUUCUAGUGAUCUGAAUCAAAGUCUAGCUGUAUAUGGACCAGGCCACACCCCCUCCAACCAAACCACACCCCCUCCAACCAAACCACACCCCCUCCAACCAAACCACACCCCCUCCAACCAAACCACACCCCUUUUUCUUCUCCCGAUCGCACCGAGGAGGUGGGGUCAGGCACGGAGGAGCCAGCAGAUCCAUAAACACACACACACACACACACACACACACACACACACACACACACACACACACACACACACACACACACACACACACACACACACACACACACACACACACACACACACACACACACACAGACGCUCAUCAAGAGAGGGCAGCUGGAUAAACUAAGCGCUGGCUGAACCCUCGGGAUCAGUUCCAACA